This 406-nucleotide ribosomal RNA is filed under the name uncultured bacterium. Its description in RNAcentral is "partial 16S ribosomal RNA". It matches the Rfam family "Bacterial small subunit ribosomal RNA", at positions 29 to 526 of the family's 1533-position model. The record is from RNAcentral.
CUUGAACGCUGGCGGCAGGCCUAACACAUGCAAGUCGAACGAGUGGCGGACGGGUGAGUAAUGUCUGGGAAACUGCCUGAUGGAGGGGGAUAACUACUGGAAACGGUAGCUAAUACCGCAUACCAUCAGAUGUGCCCAGAUGGGAUUAGCUAGUUGGUGGGGUAACGGCUCACCAAGGCGACGAUCCCUAGCUGGUCUGAGAGGAUGACCAGCCACACUGGAACUGAGAAACGGUCCAGACUCCUACGGGAGGCAGCAGGGGGGAAGAUUGCACAAGGGGCGCAAGCCUGAGGCAGCCAGGCCGCGGGUAUGAAGAAGGCCUGCGGGUUGUAAAGUACUGUCAGCGGGGAGGCGGUACCCGCAGAAGAAGCACCGGCUAACUCCGUGCCAGCAGACGCGGUAAUAC